Molecule: ribosomal RNA, 478 nt
Filed under: uncultured bacterium
Lineage: Bacteria
Description: partial 16S ribosomal RNA
Rfam family: Bacterial small subunit ribosomal RNA
Source: RNAcentral
GACGAACGCUGGCGGCGUGCUUAACACAUGCAAGUCGAACGGUAAGGCCCUUCGGGGUACACGAGUGGCGAACGGGUGAGUAACACGUGGGUGAUCUGCCCUGCACUUCGGGAUAAGCCUGGGAAACUGGGUCUAAUACCGGAUAGGACCCUGGGAUGCAUGUCCUGGGGUGGAAAGCUUUUGCGGUGUGGGAUGGGCCCGCGGCCUAUCAGCUUGUUGGUGGGGUGAUGGCCUACCAAGGCGACGACGGGUAGCCGGCCUGGGAGGGUGACCGGCCAGACUGGGACUGAGAUACGGCCCAGACUCCUACGGGAGGCAGCAGGGGGGAAUAUUGCACAAUGGGCGCAAGCCUGAUGCAGCGACGCCGCGUGAGGGAUGACGGCCUUCGGGUUGUAAACCUCUUUCAGCACCGACGAAGCGCAAGUGACGGUAGGUGCAGAAGAAGGACCGGCCAACUACGUGCCAGCAGCCGCGGUAA